UUUUUUUACAUGUACGCUCGGCUGCAAGUAAGAAAGUUGUUGACAACAGUGGUGAGCCAAGGGGACAUUUACCAUGAAACUGGUCCUACCGGUCGCUGUUUUUACUUGCAGUUUUUCAUUUGUCGCUGCGUCAUGCCCAGAAAAUGAAGAGGCGGUGCUCUGCGAUGGAAAUGGCCUGGUCCCGCAAGUAUACUGUGGUGGUGCAGGUCUUGACGACACAUGGCGCUGCGAAUAUAGCGACGAUGCGAUGUGUGCGUGUCAAGCUCCUUACGCACGUGAAACGAACAACGAAUGCGUGCUUGUAGAGAAAUGCAAAUAUGGACCGAACCAGCAUUCACUCCCAUUUUAUUUCAAAGAAGGAGUUACAGAAAGUGAACAAAAAGGCUCGGCUGGCCGAGGAACAGAGGCAACAACAACAACAACAACAACAACAGACAGGAACCUUACAGAUCUUGGUCAGAAAGCUUUGGAGUUUCUUCACAACAACGAUCCCCUUUACCUUCAAAUGAUGAGUGAGCAUGAAUGGAACAACAAUAGCUGCUUAUGCGUAAAGUCUGCAUUUCUAGCCGCACAUAAUAACGGAUGUGAGCGCACUUUGGAGUGCUACACGUACGUGUGGA
Long non-coding RNA from Dermacentor silvarum, 620 nucleotides. RefSeq lists it as uncharacterized. The transcript has 5 exons. NCBI's taxonomy places the organism in Eukaryota, Metazoa, Arthropoda, Arachnida, Ixodida, Ixodidae. The record is from RefSeq and is a predicted model, not a curated record.